Molecule: transfer RNA, 85 nt
Filed under: Felis catus (domestic cat)
Lineage: Eukaryota; Metazoa; Chordata; Mammalia; Carnivora; Felidae
Also listed under: 4 other names
Rfam family: tRNA
About the family: Transfer RNA (tRNA) molecules are approximately 80 nucleotides in length.
Source: Rfam by way of RNAcentral
GCCUGGGUGGCUCAGUCGGUAUGGCAUCUGACUUUGGCUCAGGUCAUGAUCUCAUGGUUCAUGGGUUCAAGCCCCACUUUGGGCU